Molecule: transfer RNA, 65 nt
Filed under: zebrafish metagenome
Rfam family: tRNA
About the family: Transfer RNA (tRNA) molecules are approximately 80 nucleotides in length. Their secondary structure includes four short double-helical elements and three loops (D, anti-codon, and T loops).
Source: RNAcentral
UCGUAGCUCAAUUGGAUAGAGCAUCGGUCUACGGAACCGAAGGUUAUAGGUUCGAAUCCUAUCGA